CAGUCGAACGAGCGAGAGAGAGCUUACUUUCUCAAGCGAGUGGCGAACGGGUGCGUUACGCGUGAGGAACCUGCCUCAAAGAGGGGGACAACAGUUGGAAACGACUGCUAAUACCGCAUAAGCCCACGACCCGGCAUCGGGUAGAGGGAAAAGGAGCAAUCCGCUUUGAGAUGGCCUCGCGUCCGAUUAGCUAGUUGGUGAGGUAACGGCCCACCAAGGCGACGAUCGGUAGCCGGACUGAGAGGUUGAACGGCCACAUUGGGACUGAGACACGGCCCAGACUCCUACGGGAGGCAGCAGUGGGGAAUAUUGCACAAUGGGGGAAACCCUGAUGCAGCGACGCCGCGUGGAGGAAGAAGGUCUUCGGAUUGUAAACUCCUGUUGUUGAGGAAGAUAAUGACGGUACUCAACAAGGAAGUGACGGCUAACUACGUGCCAGCAGCCGCGGUAAAACGUAGGUCACAAGCGUUGUCCGGAAUUACUGGGUGUAAAGGGAGCGCAGGCGGGAAGACAAGUUGGAAGUGAAAUCCAUGGGCUCAACCCAUGAACUGCUUUCAAAACUGUUUUUCUUGAGUAGUGCAGAGGUAGGCGGAAUUCCCGGUGUAGCGGUGGAAUGCGUAGAUAUCGGGAGGAACACCAGUGGCGAAGGCGGCCUACUGGGCACCAACUGACGCUGAGGCUCGAAAGUGUGGGUAGCAAACAGGAUUAGAUACCCUGGUAGUCCACACUGUAAACGAUGAUUACUAGGUGUUGGAGGAUUGACCCCUUCAGUGCCGCAGUUAACACAAUAAGUAAUCCACCUGGGGAGUACGACCGCAA
This 819-nucleotide ribosomal RNA is filed under the name uncultured bacterium. Its description in RNAcentral is "bacterial SSU rRNA". It matches the Rfam family "Bacterial small subunit ribosomal RNA", at positions 59 to 891 of the family's 1533-position model. The record is from RNAcentral.